Molecule: ribosomal RNA, 1360 nt
Filed under: uncultured bacterium
Lineage: Bacteria
Description: bacterial SSU rRNA
Rfam family: Bacterial small subunit ribosomal RNA
Source: RNAcentral
UAGCUACAGGGCUUAACACAUGCAAGUCGAGGGGCAGCAUGGCCUAUCUUUCGGGAUAGGCUGAUGGCGACCGGCGCACGGGUGAGUAACGCGUAUCCAACCUUCCCUUUACUGGGGUCCAGCCCGUCGAAAGGCGGAUUAAUCUCCCAUGUUCUCCGUCCCGGACAUCUGUGUCGGAGCAAAGAUUUAUCGGUAAAGGAUGGGGAUGCGUCCGAUUAGCUUGUUGGCGGGGUAACGGCCCACCAAGGCAUCGAUCGGUAGGGGUUCUGAGAGGAAGGUCCCCCACACUGGAACUGAGACACGGUCCAGACUCCUACGGGAGGCAGCAGUGAGGAAUAUUGGUCAAUGGCCGCAAGGCUGAACCAGCCAAGUAGCGUGAGGGAAGACUGCCCUAUGGGUUGUAAACCUCUUUUAUGCGGGGAUAAAGGCGUCCACGUGUGGAUGUUUGCAGGUACCGCAUGAAUAAGGACCGGCUAAUUCCGUGCCAGCAGCCGCGGUAAUACGGAAGGUCCGGGCGUUAUCCGGAUUUAUUGGGUUUAAAGGGAGCGUAGGCCGGUCUUUAAGCGUGCCGUGAAAUUUUGUGGCUCAACCAUGAGAGUGCGGCGCGAACUGGAGACCUUGAGUGCGCGGAAGGCAGGCGGAAUUCGUGGUGUAGCGGUGAAAUGCUUAGAUAUCACGGAAGGAACCCCGAUUGCGAAGGCAGCCUGCCCGCAGCGUUUACUGACGCUGAAGCUUCGAAAGCGCGGGUAUCGAACAGGAUUAGAUACCCUGGUAGUCCGCGCGGUAAACGAUGGAUACCCGCUGUCGGCGAUAUACAGUCGGCGGCCAAGCGAAAGCGUUAAGCAUCCCACCUGGGGAGUACGCCGGCAACGGUGAAACUCAAAGGAAUUGACGGGGGCCCGCACAAGCGGAGGAACAUGUGGUUUAAUUCGAUGAUACGCGAGGAACCUUACCCGGGCUUGAAUUGCAGAGGAAAGAUCCAGAGAUGGUGAUGCCCUUCGGGGUCUCUGUGAAGGUGCUGCAUGGUUGUCGUCAGCUCGUGCCGUGAGGUGUCGGCUUAAGUGCCAUAACGAGCGCAACCCCUUUCCCUAGUUGCCAUCGGUUUUGGCCGGGCACUCUGGGGACACUGCCUCCGCAAGGAGUGAGGAAGGUGGGGAUGACGUCAAAUCAGCACGGCCCUUACGUCCGGGGCUACACACGUGUUACAAUGGGUGAUACAGAGGGCCGGCCGCUGGCAACAUCGGUCCAAUCCUUAAAGUCAUCCUCAGUUCGGACUGGGGUCUGCAACCCGACCCCACGAAGCUGGAUUCGCUAGUAAUCGCGCAUCAGCCAUGGCGCGGUGAAUACGUUCCCGGGCCUU